UAAUCGCGGACUGAACCUGGUGUUAUUCUCAUUACUGGAGGGAAUUUCAAAACAGUUUAGAGCAACAACGCAAAUUAAACAUUGUGCUUUAUAAAAACACACCGUCUCCAUCGGCCGCGACAAAGAGCGAAAAAAAAAAAAAGAAUUCCAAAACAUACCAAUACCAGAACAUAAUCUGCACCUUUUUGGGGUCAAGGAAUGCGCAUGGCAUGAUUCAAUAUCCGUUAGCCAAUCCCAGCGCAUUGUUUUCAAAACAUUACGCAAGCAUAUCACGAGGUCAACGAUAGCUCCUAUAUAUAGCCAACCACCAGCACGGAAAGUCAGAUACGACGCAGCCACAUCUAUGCUUUAGUAUCUCUAAAUUCCACUGCCUUUUUUGCAGCCAAAAGUCCGCUGGCGGACGUAGUCUUGGUUGUAGAAUUGCUUAUUGUGGAGCACAGUUAUCUUUUUCUCUAGCUAAAAAGGAAGACAACAAACACGCUAUAAAUUAUAGUGGAGUGCUUCUGCUUACGAAAGCUUAAGCAGCCGAAUAAGAUUACAGCAGAAGAAGACAUAAUCUGCUGGUCAGAUUCAAAGAGGAUUCCUCGAGUGACACAGGCUUUUCAUUCGUUUACAUUAAAAAGUAAAAAAAUAGACAAGAAAAAUACGCAGUAUUUCUGACUGACUGAGAGAUUUGCAAAGACUGAGAAAAAAGUUUGCACUUAAGUUGACUGUGUUCCACACAAAGUUCGUAAGCCACACAGAAAACAAAAUGGCGGACCCAGUUUUCGGACUUAUCGUCAUCAUCCCCCGCCAUUAGUGACGUUUGGGCAGUUGACGCCUGGCAGCCAGUUCUGUGGACAAACCUACAUCUGUUUUUGAGUACUGAACGGAAACAGUUUAAGCAGCUGAUCGCCACAACGCUAUCGUUUUGGACUUCUCUUUACCAUUUGCCCGAACGUGACGUCACAGCUGAAGUUUCUGCCGUCAGAGUUAACCGCCAUUUCCUCCGGUUGAGACUCGCCUCCAAACUUUGAACUUUGACCUUUGAUCUUUGAGCAUUUCUUCGACUUCAAGUACCAUCUGUUCUGUUGUAUUCUGUAAUCGAGGACUGGCAAAGACAUCCGAUCAAAUCUUCAGAGGUUUUUAGACGCCCCGAAACCGCUGGAUAGCCCCCCAAAAUCUUUAGUGAAAACAGCGAAGAAAACAAUAAUAUUCUUGUUUGAGCAUAAUAUAGUCAUCAUGAUUGAGUCUACCUACACCGUUCCUUUGAUAGUUCUCAUCCUGCGUUAAAAUUGUAAACUUAUUUUUAGUGAUUGUGUGUGUCAGCAAAUCAAAUUUGAUCAUGUUUGGAUCAAAUCCCAUAACUUCCUUAAUCGUCAUUAUUCUGCCCUCAGUGCCUCUAUCCUAAAACAGAGAGCCGAGAGGAUGGAAAAAGAAGACAGGCUUCAUUGCGCUAUGGAUACGUUAAAUUUUGGUCUGAACUUCCAGGGUUUUCCCUGGUUUUGAGUUUUGAUUAUUGGAAAAAGGAACAUGAUUUUUAUUUGAAAAUGGAAAAGGAUUUUUUUUAUUUUAAAAGGACAAUGUUUUAAUUGUUAAGGGAGAAUUAGUUUUCAAUUAAAAAGGGAAAGUAAUUUUUUUUAUUUUAAAACGGAAGACGAUUGAAAUGGGAAGAUGGUUUUAAUUGAAAAGGGAAGGUGAUUUUUCAUUGAAAGGGGGAAAUGAUUUUAUUGAAAAUGAAGGAUGAAUUUUUAUUCAAAAUUGAAACUGAUCUGUAAUUUAAAAGGGAAAACAAUUUCAAUUGAAAUGGGUAAAUGAUUUUAAUUUAAAAAAGGAAAACGAUUUGUAAUAGAAAUGGGAAAACAACACACGACAGGUUAUCCUCACAGCAUGCAAUGGCGGAUAACGGCUUAAUUAAAAGACUGCUUUUUUACUCGCCUGGUGUAAUCUAUGAAAGCAAUAAUAAUUAAUCAGGUACUGUUCUUUGUUAACUAACUUAUAGAGCCCUCGGUAUCGUUGCUCACAUUUACCAAGCCGUAAUGAAUGUUCCAUGUACUCAAAUCGCAUAUGUGAUAAAUAAUUGGAAAACAAUUUUUAACUAAGGGAUCAUCUUGUUCCUCUAAAAGACUUAAUAUGAUCUUUUUGAAGUCCUGUAGAAGUAGGGCAGUAACAUUUGUGAGGGUGCUCUGAUGCUCUACCUUAUGAAUGUAUGGUGUGUUUUUUUUCUUUGAUUAAUCCCCUUUCGACUAUUUAUUUAAUUUAUUAACAUGUUUGCUUCUUGGGUUUCACAAUCCUCUCACGUGACAAUAUACCGAGAGCUCUCUCUAUAAUAUAUAUACACAUCUAUUUAUAACGCUUUUCUUUAUUUAUUAAGUGAUCUGUUAGGCUGUGGCUACAUUUUCUAUGCAGGAUAAUAUCUCACAAGUAGUCUGGUACAAACGUUUGCCGUAAAAAACACAUCUAACAUCAACUAAACAGACAAGUAAAUAAACACACGAACAAGAGCAAAAGUCCAUUAUAAAAGAAAAAAAUGACUCAUAAUUCUUUACUGGUUUUUUUAUGUUUGUUCCUCUAUUUGGAAACCUACCUCAGGAUUUCAAUGAUUAUGAUUAUUUUUUUUAUUUGUAAGGCAUGUUUCAUCUGUACAAGAAGGAAACAGAAAUUCCACUCGUUGUCUUUGUCUCUUAAAGCAAUUUAAGUAACUCUUCUCGGUCUCAGAGUUGCUGUAUGUGUGAUAAGCGAAGAUUGUGUUUUAGUUAAAGGAAACAUUAGCCUCCUAUUCAGAACAAUAACAUGACCCAGUACGCUCGACCUUGGUCUUCCGUCUCGGUGGGGCCACAUGAGCUUUAACAUUCUUAAACGGGUCGAAAUUUACGUUUAUGUUGGUUUCCUGGCAUAAUGGGUUUUCUCAUCCAAAAGGGGAAGGACUAUAUUGUAUUAUAAAGUGGAGU
Molecule: long non-coding RNA, 2930 nt
Organism: Aplysia californica (California sea hare)
Lineage: Eukaryota; Metazoa; Mollusca; Gastropoda; Aplysiida; Aplysiidae
Exons: 4
Source: RefSeq, a predicted model, not a curated record